UAGCUCAAAUGGUAGAGAUUAUGCUUUGCAUGUAUGAGGCCCUGGGUUCAAUUCCCAG
Molecule: transfer RNA, 58 nt
Filed under: Fukomys damarensis (Damara mole-rat)
Lineage: Eukaryota; Metazoa; Chordata; Mammalia; Rodentia; Bathyergidae
Rfam family: tRNA
About the family: Transfer RNA (tRNA) molecules are approximately 80 nucleotides in length. Their secondary structure includes four short double-helical elements and three loops (D, anti-codon, and T loops). Further hydrogen bonds mediate the characteristic L-shaped molecular structure. tRNAs have two regions of fundamental functional importance: the anti-codon, which is responsible for specific mRNA codon recognition, and the 3' end, to which the tRNAs corresponding amino acid is attached (by aminoacyl-tRNA synthetases). tRNAs cope with the degeneracy of the genetic code in two manners: having more than one tRNA (with a specific anti-codon) for a particular amino acid; and 'wobble' base-pairing, i.e. permitting non-standard base-pairing at the 3rd anti-codon position.
Source: Rfam by way of RNAcentral